Long non-coding RNA from Sinocyclocheilus grahami, 322 nucleotides. RefSeq lists it as uncharacterized. The transcript has 3 exons. NCBI's taxonomy places the organism in Eukaryota, Metazoa, Chordata, Actinopteri, Cypriniformes, Cyprinidae. The record is from RefSeq and is a predicted model, not a curated record.
UUCUCGGCGUUGACGUCAUCGCGUGCUCCCUCCGGUUGCUACGGCAACCAGUUUCCCGUACCCCCCCGCACCCGCCCCCCAUCCGUACGCUGGUAGGAUCCGUAAUGGUACAGGCAGCAUCCUGCAGCACAAUGUGGUCUUUAAAUCCGUCGCGUACCGGGAUGAUUUGAACAGGACUGGACUGUCACCGGACCGGGAUCGUCGGACGGGCAGCUGGCACGGAAUGGUAUUUAUGAACAGACGUUUCUUAUAUAACUGCAGUGCUCCAGUCCUGGAUGUGAAGAUUGCCUUUUGUCAGGUGUGUGUUCCAUACAGGUAAAUU